RNAcentral lists this long non-coding RNA (769 nucleotides) under Homo sapiens (human). Its description in RNAcentral is "HSALNT0102135". The record is from RNAcentral. Lineage: Eukaryota; Metazoa; Chordata; Mammalia; Primates; Hominidae.
AAGGGCUCCUGGGAUUGAAUCUUAAGUACAGAGAAAACCUAAGAAUGCUUUUAGAUAGACAGAUAAGAGACCAGUAGAGAAGAGCAGAUUGAAGGUAUGUGUGAGAAACGUUAUGUAAUGAAAAGAUAAUUGAUGACACACACUUCCAGAGGGUGCUGGCGAGAUUGAUUCAAAAGCACACGGCUAGGGCACUGAGUAACGAGAAAGAAGUUGCAGAUGAAGGAUAAAUGGACAGGAAUAAGAAAGGGCUUCAUCAUUUAAGAAUCUGAAAGAGACAAAAAGACAGAAGAAGGAGAUGCCAGUGACAAGCAAAGUAACUCCCCCACGGCAUGGGAAGAGCCAGCAUCUGCUGCUGUCCAGGAAUACAGUCUCACUGCUGCAGUCAAGGAAGGCCAAAGAAGCCACCGGGGAAAACCAACCCAUCCCGGGGACACUGGAGGCUCACUCCUUCCUCGCUGCAUUCUGAGGCUGCUGCUUUGGAGUGAGAGAUUAUCCUCUGCUUCUCCUGAAAGAGAAGGUGAUAUGCCCAGGACCCUUCCUGAGUAAGAUGUGUUCCUCAGAGGUUAAAAAAGAAAAAAAAGCCCCAAACCCCUGAAACCAAGAAAUCAAGACAGCUCUGGUGGAGAAGCUUUUGGGAACUUGCUGGGGCAGCAAAUUAUCUGGAUUUUACAGAGGAAGGAGGACAUUGAAGAUUAGAGGUUGCAUAGCCUGACCAUGUUUACAUCUACUGCAGAUGAAGAGAUUGCUUCGCUUCAAACCUCCUGACUGC